This 1361-nucleotide ribosomal RNA is filed under the name uncultured bacterium. RNAcentral describes it as "bacterial SSU rRNA". It matches the Rfam family "Bacterial small subunit ribosomal RNA", at positions 28 to 1381 of the family's 1533-position model. The record is from RNAcentral.
AUUGAACGCUGGCGGCAGGCCUAACACAUGCAAGUCGAGCGGUAGCACAGAGAGCUUGCUCUCGGGUGACGAGCGGCGGACGGGUGAGUAAUGUCUGGGAAACUGCCUGAUGGAGGGGGAUAACUACUGGAAACGGUAGCUAAUACCGCAUAAUGUCGCAAGACCAAAGUGGGGGACCUUCGGGCCUCAUGCCAUCAGAUGUGCCCAGAUGGGAUUAGCUAGUAGGUGGGGUAACGGCUCACCUAGGCGACGAUCCCUAGCUGGUCUGAGAGGAUGACCAGCCACACUGGAACUGAGACACGGUCCAGACUCCUACGGGAGGCAGCAGUGGGGAAUAUUGCACAAUGGGCGCAAGCCUGAUGCAGCCAUGCCGCGUGUGUGAAGAAGGCCUUCGGGUUGUAAAGCACUUUCAGCGGGGAGGAAGGCGUUAAGGUUAAUAACCUUGGCGAUUGACGUUACCCGCAGAAGAAGCACCGGCUAACUCCGUGCCAGCAGCCGCGGUAAUACGGAGGGUGCAAGCGUUAAUCGGAAUUACUGGGCGUAAAGCGCACGCAGGCGGUCUGUCAAGUCGGAUGUGAAAUCCCCGGGCUCAACCUGGGAACUGCAUUCGAAACUGGCAGGCUAGAGUCUUGUAGAGGGGGGUAGAAUUCCAGGUGUAGCGGUGAAAUGCGUAGAGAUCUGGAGGAAUACCGGUGGCGAAGGCGGCCCCCUGGACAAAGACUGACGCUCAGGUGCGAAAGCGUGGGGAGCAAACAGGAUUAGAUACCCUGGUAGUCCACGCCGUAAACGAUGUCGAUUUGGAGGUUGUGCCCUUGAGGCGUGGCUUCCGGAGCUAACGCGUUAAAUCGACCGCCUGGGGAGUACGGCCGCAAGGUUAAAACUCAAAUGAAUUGACGGGGGCCCGCACAAGCGGUGGAGCAUGUGGUUUAAUUCGAUGCAACGCGAAGAACCUUACCUGGUCUUGACAUCCACAGAACUUAGCAGAGAUGCUUUGGUGCCUUCGGGAACUGUGAGACAGGUGCUGCAUGGCUGUCGUCAGCUCGUGUUGUGAAAUGUUGGGUUAAGUCCCGCAACGAGCGCAACCCUUAUCCUUUGUUGCCAGCGGUUAGGCCGGGAACUCAAAGGAGACUGCCAGUGAUAAACUGGAGGAAGGUGGGGAUGACGUCAAGUCACCAUGGCCCUUACGACCAGGGCUACACACGUGCUACAAUGGCAUAUACAAAGAGAAGCGACCUCGCGAGAGCAAGCGGACCUCAUAAAGUAUGUCGUAGUCCGGAUUGGAGUCUGCAACUCGACUCCAUGAAGUCGGAAUCGCUAGUAAUCGUAGAUCAGAAUGCUACGGUGAAUACGUUCCCGGACCU